RNAcentral lists this long non-coding RNA (1352 nucleotides) under Anas platyrhynchos platyrhynchos (common mallard). RNAcentral's name for it is "lncRNA (ENSAPLG00000023289.1)". Lineage: Eukaryota; Metazoa; Chordata; Aves; Anseriformes; Anatidae. The record is from RNAcentral.
AAAACUUCUAGGGAAAAUUGGAGGGUAAAAUUUCUCCAUCUGUCUUUGUGAUUCUUCCAUUCAUCAGGUUUUGAAAACUUAAAAACUCAUCUAGCCAAUGUCAGUUUGUAACAAAACAGUUUAUAUUUGAUGUGUUCGUUAUUAAGUAUUCACUUCAUUUUGUUAGUUUGCCCCAACAAACAUGGGAAGGUGAAAGCAUACCCUGAAUUUUGCUUCUCUUGGUGUAUGUGUUAGAAGAUGGCUGUAUAGAAAACAUUACUUGUCAGUGUCUAUAGAACAUUGAUUGGAAUAUAAGGGCAGGGAAGAUAAGUUUUAGGCUAAAAAUAGUUGUAAUGUGUAAAAUGUCUCCCAUGAUUUUAAGGGAAGUUGCUUCUAUGUAAUGUUUUUAUGUUUAUAGCUGGAAGUUACCCGGGGUCUGUGGUUAGAAGGGGGUUAUCAGGCAGAAAAAUGCCUUCCGCAGGCUGGGCUGGGCAAACCGAGCAUCUUGGUGGCAGCCUGAAGAGCAGUGAGAGGGAAAUCCUGGCUGUGUUUACCAAGCUUUAGCCAUCCUACAAAGCCCAGGAGCAUUACACUACCCAGAAGGUCAUUAGCUGAGUGCUUUCGGGCACUGCUUUACACAGACACCAAGACCAAAUAUGCUCCUAACAGAACUAAGCGUGAAACAUGGUUGGAGAGACUCCAGCAACACCGUUUUUGUCUGCAUUAGCCCACUCAAGUAAACUAAAAUGUGUGGUAUUUGUCCAGCCUCCCUGCACUUGGGCUGGAUGCCACAAGCAGCUCGGCUGCUGGAAGUGGGCGUUUCUUGGUGGGACUGCCAAGGAGCCUGGCCAGAGCUGCUGAGACUCGCCUGGGGGUCCCCACAGCCAGAAGGCAUUGCCUUUAAAUAUUUUAUAACUACCCUUUCUUGCUUGCUCUUUGUCCUGCUCUCCACCCAUUCAUUGAUCCAUGCAUCCACACAACACCCAAGGUAAGGCUCUCUUUCAUCGCACCAGAACUGCUCUCUGUGGUAGAACAAGGUCUAUAGGAAAAAAUAGGCUAAGGAAAAUGUCCUCUCUCCUUCUGCCCCUUCUCACUUUCAUCGCAGACACCUCUGGUUUCCAGACAGGCAGAACUUUAGGAUGGUGAAGACCAGGAAAUUUGGGAAGAUCCUCUCAGAGAGACUCGGAGCUGGCACUGCACGGUGCUUCAGUGCUGUCCUCAGCACCAAACAACCGUCCAGGGCAUGUCCCACGUGCUUGCACAGAUACAGCCCCUGGGCUUUCAGGACGACCUGUCUGUUGUGUUGGUGCCAUUGUAGGAAAAGCUGCCGUUGAGAGGAGGAACCUCCAGGAGCAUCUGUGAGCUUUGGGAGC